Molecule: ribosomal RNA, 429 nt
Filed under: Triticum aestivum (bread wheat)
Lineage: Eukaryota; Viridiplantae; Streptophyta; Magnoliopsida; Poales; Poaceae
Description: partial small subunit ribosomal RNA
Source: RNAcentral
AUGAAACCCAAUAAAGCCCCUGGUCCUGAUAAUAUCCCUAUAGAAUUCUUCCAACAUUGUUGGGAGAUUGUUAAAAAUGAGGUGAUGUUGUUAUUUGAAUGGUUCCACGAUAAUAAACUUGAUGUGCAAAUAUUAAACUAUGGGAUUAUUACCCUUCUCCCUAAGAUGGUUGGGGCCAACAAGAUACAACAAUUCUGUCCUAUUUGCUUGCUUCGGUGCAUAUAUAAACUGAUUACUAAGGUGCUUACCAUUAGGCUAGAACCAUUUGUGGAUAUCUUGUUUAGUAGACAUCAAAAUGCUUUCAUAAAAAAAGGGAUAUUAUGGAUGGGAUUAUGUCUUUACAUGAAGUUUUACAUCAUUCCUAUGCUGAAAAAAACAGGGAUUGUACUCAAACUUGACUUUGAGAAGGCGUACGAUAAAGUGAACUAG